UUCAUCCUAGUUUUUUGAAAAUAAAAGGAAGAGAAAUGGGAGAGGAGGGCUUAAACCUAGGAUCUCUAAGGAGUACACUAACUACUUAACUAUCAAGCCUAUUCAAUUUAUUAGUUAUUUAUUUCAAUUAACCCCCUAUAUUUUGGAUUGUGACAAAGGUUGUGCGAUUUUUCAGACUAAAUUUCUAGUCCCGUGACACUAGUUUAAAAUCAACCCAACUUGGUACAAUAUCAACUCACUUACAAACCAA
RNAcentral lists this long non-coding RNA (250 nucleotides) under Gossypium barbadense (sea-island cotton). Its description in RNAcentral is "long non-coding RNA (GBAR_LNC021849)". Lineage: Eukaryota; Viridiplantae; Streptophyta; Magnoliopsida; Malvales; Malvaceae. The record is from RNAcentral.